UACGUAGGCAGCAAGCGUUGUUCGGAGUUACUGGGCGUAAAGAGUGCGUAGGUGGUGCCCUAAGUCUGUUGUGAAAUCUCCCGGCUUAACUGGGAGGGUGCGGUGGAAACUGGGGUGCUUGAGUGUGGGAGAGGUAAGCGGAAUUCCUGGUGUAGCGGUGAAAUGCGUAGAUAUCAGGAAGAACACCCGUGGCGAAGGCGGCUCUCUGGUACGUAACUGACGCUGAGACGCGAAAGCGUGGGGAGCGAACAGG
This 253-nucleotide ribosomal RNA is filed under the name uncultured bacterium. Its description in RNAcentral is "partial 16S ribosomal RNA". It matches the Rfam family "Bacterial small subunit ribosomal RNA", at positions 524 to 776 of the family's 1533-position model. The record is from RNAcentral.